UACGGGGGGGGCAAGCGUUGUUCGGAAUUACUGGGCGUAAAGGGCUCGUAGGUGGCCAACUCAGUCGGACGUGAAAUCCCUCGGCUUAACCGGGGAACUGCGUCCGAUACUGGAUGGCUUGAGAUCGGGAGAGGGAUGCGGAAUUCCAGGUGUAGCGGUGAAAUGCGUAGAUAUCUGGAGGAACACCGGUGGCGAAGGCGGCAUCCUGGACCGGUAUUGACGCUGAGGCACGAAAGCGUGGGGAGCAAACAGG
RNAcentral lists this ribosomal RNA (253 nucleotides) under uncultured bacterium. RNAcentral's name for it is "partial 16S ribosomal RNA". It matches the Rfam family "Bacterial small subunit ribosomal RNA", at positions 524 to 776 of the family's 1533-position model. The record is from RNAcentral.